This 253-nucleotide ribosomal RNA is filed under the name uncultured bacterium. RNAcentral describes it as "partial 16S ribosomal RNA". It matches the Rfam family "Bacterial small subunit ribosomal RNA", at positions 524 to 776 of the family's 1533-position model. The record is from RNAcentral.
UACGUAGGGGGCUAGCGUUGUCCGGAUUUAUUGGGCGUAAAGGGCGCGUAGGCGGCCUUCUAAGUCAGACGUGAAAUCCCCCGGCUUAACCUGGGAACUGCGUCUGAUACUGGGAGGCUAGAGUGCGGGAGAGGGAUGCGGAAUUCCAGGUGUAGCGGUGAAAUGCGUAGAUAUCUGGAGGAACACCGGUGGCGAAGGCGGCAUCCUGGACCGACACUGACGCUGAGGCGCGAAAGCUAGGGUAGCAAACGGG